Molecule: ribosomal RNA, 484 nt
Filed under: uncultured bacterium
Lineage: Bacteria
Description: partial 16S ribosomal RNA
Rfam family: Bacterial small subunit ribosomal RNA
Source: RNAcentral
AUUGAACGCUGGCGGCAUGCUUUACACAUGCAAGUCGAACGGCAGCACGGGCUUCGGCCUGGUGGCGAGUGGCGAACGGGUGAGUAAUAUAUCGGAACGUACCCAGAAGUGGGGGAUAACGUAGCGAAAGUUACGCUAAUACCGCAUACGAUCUAUGGAUGAAAGCAGGGGACCGCAAGGCCUUGUGCUCCUGGAGCGGCCGAUAUCUGAUUAGCUAGUUGGUGAGGUAAAGGCUCACCAAGGCGACGAUCAGUAGCUGGUCUGAGAGGACGACCAGCCACACCUGAACUGGGACACGGUCCCGACUCCUACGGGAGGCAGCAGUGGGGAAUUUUUGACAAUUGGCGGAAAGCUUGUCCAAGCAUGGCGCGGUGGUGGAAGAAGCCUUCCGGUUUGUAAGGCUUUUUUUCAGGGAAGAAACGGUUGAGGCUAAUAUCCCUUGGCAAUGACGGUACCUGAAAAAUAAGCACCGGCUAACUACGUU